UACGUAGGGAGCAAGCGUUGUCCGGAUUUACUGGGCGUAAAGGGCGCGUAGGCGGUCUAUUAAGUGUGGUGUGAAAUCUCCAGAGCUCAACUCGGAAACUGCACCGCAUACUGGUAGACUAGAGGAAGGUAGAGGUAGAUAGAAUUCCUGGUGUAACGGUGACAUGUGUAGAUAUCAGGAGGAAUACCGAUGGCGAAGGCAGUCUACUGGGCCUUUCCUGACGCUGAGGCGCGAAAGCGUGGGUAGCAAACAGA
RNAcentral lists this ribosomal RNA (254 nucleotides) under uncultured bacterium. RNAcentral's name for it is "partial 16S ribosomal RNA". It matches the Rfam family "Bacterial small subunit ribosomal RNA", at positions 524 to 776 of the family's 1533-position model. The record is from RNAcentral.